UACGAAGGGGACUAGCGUUGUUCGGAAUUACUGGGCGUAAAGCGCACGUAGGCGGAUUUGUUAGUCAGGGGUGAAAUCCCGGGGCUCAACCUCGGAACUGCCUUUGAUACUGCAAAUCUCGAGUCCGAUAGAGGUGGGUGGAAUUCCUAGUGUAGAGGUGAAAUUCGUAGAUAUUAGGAAGAACACCGGUGGCGAAGGCGGCCCACUGGAUCGGUACUGACGCUGAGACGCGAAAGCGUGGGGAGCGAACAGG
This 253-nucleotide ribosomal RNA is filed under the name uncultured bacterium. RNAcentral's name for it is "partial 16S ribosomal RNA". It matches the Rfam family "Bacterial small subunit ribosomal RNA", at positions 524 to 776 of the family's 1533-position model. The record is from RNAcentral.